RNAcentral lists this ribosomal RNA (1488 nucleotides) under Klebsiella pneumoniae. Its description in RNAcentral is "partial 23S ribosomal RNA". It matches the Rfam family "Bacterial large subunit ribosomal RNA", at positions 1 to 1527 of the family's 2925-position model. Lineage: Bacteria; Pseudomonadati; Pseudomonadota; Gammaproteobacteria; Enterobacterales; Enterobacteriaceae. The record is from RNAcentral.
GGGUUGUGAGGUUAAGCGACUAAGCGUACACGGUGGAUGCCCUGGCAGUCAGAGGCGAUGAAGGACGUGCUAAUCUGCGAAAAGCGUCGGUAAGGUGAUAUGAACCGUUAUAACCGGCGAUGUCCGAAUGGGGAAACCCAGUGCAAUUCGUUGCACUAUCGUUAACUGAAUACAUAGGUUAACGAGGCGAACCGGGGGAACUGAAACAUCUAAGUACCCCGAGGAAAAGAAAUCAACCGAGAUUCCCCCAGUAGCGGCGAGCGAACGGGGAGCAGCCCAGAGUCUGAAUCAGCUUGUGUGUUAGUGGAACGGUCUGGAAAGUCCGACGGUACAGGGUGAUAGUCCCGUACACCAAAAUGCACAGGCUGUGAACUCGAAGAGUAGGGCGGGACACGUGGUAUCCUGUCUGAAUAUGGGGGGACCAUCCUCCAAGGCUAAAUACUCCUGACUGACCGAUAGUGAACCAGUACCGUGAGGGAAAGGCGAAAAGAACCCCGGCGAGGGGAGUGAAAAAGAACCUGAAACCGUGUACGUACAAGCAGUGGGAGCACCUUCGGGUGUGACUGCGUACCUUUUGUAUAAUGGGUCAGCGACUUAUAUUCUGUAGCAAGGUUAACCGUAUAGGGGAGCCGCAGGGAAACCGAGUCUUAACUGGGCGUUAAGUUGCAGGGUAUAGACCCGAAACCCGGUGAUCUAGCCAUGGGCAGGUUGAAGGUUGGGUAACACUAACUGGAGGACCGAACCGACUAAUGUUGAAAAAUUAGCGGAUGACUUGUGGCUGGGGGUGAAAGGCCAAUCAAACCGGGAGAUAGCUGGUUCUCCCCGAAAGCUAUUUAGGUAGCGCCUCGUGAACUCAUCUUCGGGGGUAGAGCACUGUUUCGGCUAGGGGGUCAUCCCGACUUACCAACCCGAUGCAAACUACGAAUACCGAAGAAUGUUAUCACGGGAGACACACGGCGGGUGCUAACGUCCGUCGUGAAGAGGGAAACAACCCAGACCGCCAGCUAAGGUCCCAAAGUCAUGGUUAAGUGGGAAACGAUGUGGGAAGGCACAGACAGCCAGGAUGUUGGCUUAGAAGCAGCCAUCAUUUAAAGAAAGCGUAAUAGCUCACUGGUCGAGUCGGCCUGCGCGGAAGAUGUAACGGGGCUAAACCAUGCACCGAAGCUGCGGCAACGACACUAUGUGUUGUUGGGUAGGGGAGCGUUCUGUAAGCCUGCGAAGGUGUGCUGUGAGGCAUGCUGGAGGUAUCAGAAGUGCGAAUGCUGACAUAAGUAACGAUAAAGCGGGUGAAAAGCCCGCUCGCCGGAAGACCAAGGGUUCCUGUCCAACGUUAAUCGGGGCAGGGUGAGUCGACCCCUAAGGCGAGGCCGAAAGGCGUAGUCGAUGGGAAACAGGUUAAUAUUCCUGUACUUGGUGUUACUGCGAAGGGGGGACGGAGAAGGCUAUGUUAGCCGGGCGACGGUUGUCCCGGUUUAAGCAUGUAGGCUG